AACGAACGCUGGCGGCAUGCCUAACACAUGCAAGUCGAACGAAGUCUUCGGACUUAGUGGCGCACGGGUGCGUAACGCGUGGGAAUCUGCCCUUGGGUGCGGAAUAACUUCUCGAAAGGGAUGCUAAUACCGCAUAAUGUCGUAAGACCAAAGAUUUAUCGCCCAAGGAUGAGCCCGCGUAAGAUUAGCUAGUUGGUGGGGUAAAAGCCUACCAAGGCGACGAUCUUUAGCUGGUCUGAGAGGAUGAUCAGCCACACUGGGACUGAGACACGGCCCAGACUCCUACGGGAGGCAGCAGUGGGGAAUAUUGGACAAUGGGCGAAAGCCUGAUCCAGCAAUGCCGCGUGAGUGAUGAAGGCCCUAGGGUUGUAAAGCUCUUUUACCCGGGAUGAUAAUGACAGUACCGGGAGAAUAAGCCCCCGGCUAACUCCGUGCCAGCAGCCGCGGUAAU
Molecule: ribosomal RNA, 451 nt
Filed under: uncultured bacterium
Lineage: Bacteria
Description: bacterial SSU rRNA
Rfam family: Bacterial small subunit ribosomal RNA
Source: RNAcentral